UUCUAAUAUAUUCAAUAUUUUGAAGAGAUUCAAUAGCUUGUCAUAAAAUGCUAUCCAUGUGGUGCCCACCUUUAAGAGUUUUGCAGCAGUUGCACGGAAGCAAUAUUAUUAUAUAUGAAGUCUCCUGGUGUAUUCCUUUUUGUGGGUUUUUUACUUUAGAUAGUGUAAGUUUAAUAUCGUAGGGGUGAGGUAUUUGUGAGAGAAAAUACCAAUUAUUGCUAUAACUAUCAAUCAGUAGAUCAGACAGGAAAGGUUCCUGUCAUCUGAAUGUGGUCAAGGGUUCUCCUGAGGCCAUAGUUCAGCACUGCCUGGUUACCUAUCCUGAAACCUUCUCCAUAAUCUGGCGAUGUAUCUGACUCGAUCUGGUGUUUGAAAAACUCACCAAGUUUCUUCUCAAAGUCAGAUCGCGGCCCUUUCUUUGAUGAUGUGGAAGAAGAUGAUGACGGUGAUGAGGAUGAGGAUGACGACGAAGCACCUUCACCUCCCGAACUAGAAUAUAUCUCAGAAUCUAGCCACAUAUGAGCCAGGACCUGGCAUAUGCCUUCUUCGACCUCUGGACGUAGGUUGGGAUAACCUGUCAAAGACAACAUUUGUACUUCUUAGCUGACCAUAUGAAAGUAAAUAAAUGAAAACGAAGGAAAUACUUGACAAGAUCAUGUAUGUCAUAGGAUGGGCAAACCUUUAAGUCGAAGCCAAGCAUGCAUCAUCUCAUGAGCCAAAAUUGAACCCGUCAACAACCUGUAUGUAUGGAAUGUAAAGGAUGCAUACUUGAAAAUUCUCAAAUAUCAUGAAUGAUGAUGAAUUUGAUGAGUGAUCAACACAAAUAGAUGAUAAUACCUGGGAAGGCCAUACAGAAUGAGAAUUGCAGUUACUUCACACCUACGACUUAGCCUAUAAGGUUCUAUUCUUAUGUCUAUGAAACGGUUUCCUGCCCCAAUCCUUGGCCACCUCAAAACCUGGUAAUUGGGGUCAAAUAAAUAUACAAUUUCAAUCUAUAAACAGACACCUUUAAGAAACCAAACACUAGCUUAUGUAUGACUUGUGACGAGAAAUUACAGUGGGAACAGUUUGUUUUUCCGACAAGCAGAGUCCUCUGGUUUCAGGUAAGUGAUGAUGACCCUGACCAAGAAAAUGUAAAAAUUGAAAAUAAAACCAUAAAAAAAUAUAACAAAACAAAAGGCUUACUUAUUGAUGGUCUCGAUGCAUCAUCCUUACAUUCUUUUCUCCUUCCAUAGCCUCAUUCAGGGCUGGUCUCUCAACCAAAAGUAAGGGUAUUUCCUGCUCGACCUUCAUAUUUAAACCUUCAUAAAAUUUUCGAAUUUCAAAGUAAAGAGGUUGGCAUUCAUGAGUAUCCAUUAUUGCAGAGUCUAGACACUCUAGACAUAGCUUCCUGCCAUCAUCAAGCGAUACAUAUCUAGUGUCCCUAGGCUGCAUGGCAUGGGAAAAAAAUAUUAUUAUAAAAUUCAAACCAUUUUUCAGAAAACUACAAUUUACAUUUUCUUUCUAAGCUUCUUUAUCCCCCUCCCUUCACUUUGGUUUUGGACAGCAGAAAGGUUGAUUCAAAUUCUUUCAACUGACCUCCAUUCUCUCACAACUACAGCAACGAGGAGUCCUAUCACGCUGAUGUGAGGGACAGUAUUUUUGUAGCAAGAAAGGAUGAGCCCUAAACUCAAUGAGCCCUGCUGAAUUUGUAGGAAUCUGUACAAAAGGGAAUGGGAAGAAAGAUGUUAAGGUCACCAUGAAUCAAGGAAAUAUGAUGGAAUAGUAGUUAAUUAACUCUUUUUUUUUUUUUUUUGGCUGAGUGUAGAUCUAUGAUUAAAAUUAGAGAAAAACUCAUAUUGUAAAUCCCAUUAUCCCAGAAAUGUUCGAAUAAAAAAAUAUGCUGUAGCCAGCUGCUUUAGCAGACAGCAAAAUGUAUCACAAUGCCACAUGGCAAAUCCAAGGUUAAAUGACACUACCACAAGGUUGGUCAAUGACACAACAUGCCAAGGCAUCUGUCAGCCUAUGAGCUUUAUAACCUAACACAAAAUGCGCUCAUAAAUAAUACGACAGGCAAAUUGAGUUUUAAUGGCAGCUGGAGAAUACUAAACCACAAAAUGACUAGGAUAUUACUAUCAAUGUUCAUUACCUGGGAAAAGAAAUAUGUGCAUCUAGCACACCAACCCAGAUUAUUGAAGUCGAGAUGAUUUUUGUUCCAUCUCAAAAUAAGCAAAACAAUAAGGCAUAAAUUGACCCCUUAAAAUUUGUUCACUUGUUCUUUAUACAUUACAGACCCAAAUUCAACCGUACCUCUAUUCUUUUUUUCAACAAAAAUAUCUGGUAUCAGGCUAUUUCUUCACUAGAUGAGGUGCACAAAUAAUAGGUGAUUACUCAGUUUGAAAACGUACGUAGCAAAAGAAAGAAUAUCAGAGAUAAUUCCAGUGACUCUCUAAUCAUCAUUUAUUUAUUUUGGAUAUACUACUAGCACAUCCAAUAGUUGAGCGAAAGGAUUGCUGAAUUUAGCAGCAUCAGCUCAAUUUUGACAAAAAGGGCACCCUUCAACAACUUUACCAACAAAAGCUGAUUCUUCUUUGGCAAACAAGAUGGGUGCAAUGAGAGUUUAUGAAGUUAGUCCGGUUAGAUUGCAACCGUAAUCUGGUUUGCAAUGGCUUAGCUUCAUUGUUCAUCUACUCAACAAAGCCCUCAUCCAAUCAAAUGUAUUCAAGCACAAUACUAAACCAGCAGAAGGUAUUGUUGUGUUUCUGUCAUAUAAAAACUUACAAAUUUGUUGCAGACAUCGCAUCUUGGAUGAUCCUGCUUCCUAUAACAAGAUUCGUGAUACCGACGAUUCCCAGACAUUGAAAACUAUUACAAGAAUGAAUUUGAGGGUUAGUAAACAUACACCAAUCUCUUGAUACUCAACCAAAAUAAAAGACAUUAGUUAAGAACUCAUGAUCACUGCCAUCAAUUCCAGACAAAAGUAUCAAUUCACUAGAAUAAGAUUCAGAUUUAAACCUCAUAAUCAGUAAUUGGCAGAUUGCAAGCAUUGCAACAAAAACAAUCAGGAUGCCAAACACCACCCAUGCAAUUCAAAAACUGUCCAUGCCCAAUCUCAGUGUUGCACCCAGCACAGAUCCUAUGAGCAAUAAAUUUUCAACAAUCAGAUCAGAUUUUCCAUGUGGUGUCUCUGAACUGUGAUAUGCAGAAACAAUUUUAAAGAACAGGCAAGAGACAUCGUAUCUGAAAGAUAUCAACAUGCAAUUCCAUGUUCCAAGAAUAUAAAGCACCCCCAAUGUUUUCUUAACUAAUUUCAUUUUGUCUCUUUGAUAGAAAGAUGCAAGCUCAAAAGUCUGGCUAACAUAAUAGAGACAACAUAAUAUUCUACAAGUUGAUCCUGUAAAUUAAUGGUGUGUUUCAUCUCAUGUCACUGCACUUCGGUUACCAUGACAACAAAACAAUCACUUUACUAAAAGGAUCUUUUAAGAGAAGGAAUAAAUAUUUAUCCUUUUGAAAUCUGAUUGGAAUGCAUGUUACAUUAUUUGAAUGCAGAAAAAUGGCUGUUCCACACAACCACAGUUACCUGUAACCAGAUGAAAAUGGAUAAGGUGGAACUAGAUUUCCACCGUCAUAUCGAGCUCGAGGAGGAGACUCCAAACUUAAACUUUCUUGACUUGCUUUGGCAAGUUGCUCAUCUUCUUCCAAUUGAGCUGUCACAUCCUCCUCUGGCUGGUGGGGCUUGUAAUAUUCCUCUGACUGUUCAGACUCAUUAUCUUCCUCUGGUUGAAAUAAAGUUUUUUACUUGAUAAUUAAAGAAUGAACUGGAUAACAGCAUGGGUGCAUAACUGACACAAUCUAUCAUCAGUAUAUACAUAAGAAAGGAUCAAUAUUUCUGUCCUAGCUGACUAUGAAUUUUAUGAAUGAAACCAGUCACGGUUAUUUAAGAUGACAAGGACUAUAUUAUCAUUUUUAUGAAACCUUUAAAGUGAUUUGUUGUCUGCGAUGAAAUCUUUUUAUUUGUGUAAACUGUAGGCGUAAUUGACCAAAACAUCAUCAUAUGAAUAGUUGUCAAAUUCAGCUUAUAUUGCCUUGUAUAGAAAUAAAAUAUGGUAUGCAAAAGAACCUAAUUAAACUAUAACCAUUUUGUUUCUCUUCAUUUUGGUACUUCUAUCUGAUAUUGUUGAAGAUUCUGAAGUAAUUAAGACAGAUUUGAAGCUGAUUUGUAGGGAGUAAAAAUAGAAAGUCAGAUAUCUUUUCCUAUAAAUCAGAACCUAGCAAUAAUACCUAUUUAUGUGUAGUUAAUAGUUGUCCUAAUAUAGAUAUGUAGAUACUGUAUAUAUUCAAGAAUUCUUUAUGAAAUAAAUUGAGAAGUCAGAAUUUAACAACUCUCCAUAGAUAUCUUGUACAAAGCUCUGCUUGAAACAUUGGGUCAGCAGUCAUGUUGCACAGUUAAUAUAAGUUUUCAAAUAAAAAAUGGGAGUAACAACCUAAUCAAUUCUAACAGUUUUGCAACUCACCAAUUACUUUUUUUCCUUUUUGAUCUUCUUCGGAAAGGGAAAGUGCAAUAGCAUAUUCGAUUUCUUCAUUGUCAAAAUUCAAUAAAUCAUCCUGCCUCGAGUUGUCCAUGACAUACAGUUAGCUCAGGAAAAAAAAUUAGAACAAACUUUUAAGAGAAAAGUGCCAGUAUAUAGUUUUGCAAGAAGAUUACAACAUCCCAUCUUUUCACACAACAUUUAUACAGCCAACCAGCUCCAGCCAGAAAGACUAGGCUAGCAUCAUACCAUGGACAAGCAUAAGCAAAGGAGAACAGUUAUAAAAGUACAAAGACUGUGAUUACCACUGAUUGGCGAGGCUCAUCCCAAUACCUAUCUUCUCCAUGUCUCCCAGGAUAGUGCCCUCUACUGCUAGAACCUUCGAGAACAUUGGUCCACCAAUCCAUAGUACAAUAGGUUUUUCGGUAGCAGGCUGGUGAAUUUUGGUCUUUUGAAUAAUUCAUGAGCGCCACAAAGAAUUUGAGAUAAGAAAGGAAAUGAGGUAAGUAUUUAAAUCAUUACUUACGACAAACUCAUUCAUUAUUCAAUAUACAAUUAUUACAAGUUCUUAGAACAAUUGGUUGAAAAUGAAUAUAUCAAUCAAAGAGAUGAAUGAAUGAAUAUUAUUUAACAGGGUAAAUAAAAGGCUUGUAAUGAGCAGGCGUCUGAAAUGGUAGUAGCAACUUGGAGCAUACUUCACAGAUGCCUUCGAAUUUCAAAAUUCAGAGGCAGCAAUUCAACCGAGCAUGGAAGGCAUCAAGCUAAAGAGGAACUAUAAUUAAGCUCACCAAAUGAUUAAAAAGAUAUCAAAUAGAUCAAGGAAACGAAAAGGACCUCAAUCCAAUCAUGAGAAAUGGGAAUUCAUGACAAUAAAUAGGUAAUGCAGUAUCACUCUCCAUGAUUACAAAUUUUAGCCAAAUUCAUAUAUGAUGUAAUCAUUCGUCCCUCAUAUCUCACCCCAACGCGCCCAGCAUCAAUACUAUCAACAGAAAAAAGAAAUUUCAAUUCUUCAUGGAUAAAGAUCUCCAACCUCAUCUUGCAAUCAUACAGAGAUUACAUGGCACAGCUGUCUAUGCUAUGUUAAAACAGUAAAACAUAAGUUUCAGACAGAACUUCACCUGAAACAAAUUAAGAAUCUGGAGAAACAAUAGAAUCUGAUGAAUCCAAGAUCAGUUACAGAAACCAAUUCCCAUGAAUAAUCAUCGAAAAAGGAAUCACAUGACACUAAAAGCCAUACUUUCCAUCAUCUCUUCAACAGCAACCAAUCCUGCAAAAACAAAAAACACGUCAGACUUUUCACUUUGACAAAACAAAAGUAGUUUUGCAAUAGUGAAGAUAAUAACAUUUCACAGAAAGAGCGAAAAUAGAAAGAGAGAGACCCAAAAAAAGAAAAGUACUUGAAUUGAAUCCUACUCAAAUCCAGGCUGAAGGGGGAGCAAAAAAUGCCAAUAGAGUGAGCUUUUUCGGAAUUUUUGAUCAUAUACUAUAGUUAUAUGCUGUCUAACCUUCCUUGAAACUCGCAAUUUUUAUAUGCGCUGAGAGAGAGAGGAAAUCAAAUCGAAGGGCCGGGUGGGGUGGUAUAGUCCGUAGAAUUAUUAACGACAACAAUUUCUACUUUUGCAAGUGGGUCCUAUAGCCAUUUUCCACCACAAUUCACAAAAUGUCAAAGAACCCAUAUAUCUUUCUUGUUGAAAAAUUGACAUGGGACAAGAGAGAGAGACAUAGACAGAGACAGAGAAGGUGGUUCUGGUAAUUGUUGAUCUUCGCUCUGCAUGGACUUGUGAGUACUGUAGAAGAAGCGAAUAGGGUGGUGGUGUGUGUACUUGUAUACCAAAAUAUUUUUGUCAGUGAUGAGUCAAGGUCAUGGUUGGUGCUCUUAACCUAAAUAAAUUCAUCUCCAAUGUAAAAUAUUAAAUUGAAAAGUUAAAUUGAUAAAAUAAUUUUUUAAUUAUAUACAUUAAAAUGAUAAAAAACUAUUUAAAAAAAUUAAUUAUAUUUUAAUAUAUUUCAUGUUAAAUUAAUUUUAAUAGAAUUAUAUAAUUAAUUUAGAUAUUUUAUAUUUAAUAUAAUUAUGAUGUUAUUAAUUAUAUAAGUAAUUUAUAAAAGUAAUAUAAAAUUAUUGAAGUAAUAUUAAAGUUAAAAGAUAUAAUUUAAAAUUAAACUUAAAAUUAAUUUAUAUGAAUAUUUUUAAUUUUCAGUUUUACAUGUUACGGUUAAAAAUUUAAUUUUUAAAAAGUAAAUUCAAAUUCAAACUUUGAAAAAAAACCGUCAAUAUUUUAAAUUUUGAUUUUCAAAUUUUUUUUAAAAAAAUUCAUGCUUUGAAAAAAUAACCGCAACCAUUUUAAAUUUUAAAAUUUCAAAUUUUAAAAAAAUAACCGCCAACAUUUUAAACUUUAAAAUUUUAAAUUUUAAAAAAAUAACUGUCAACAUUUUAAGAUUUCAAAAUUUGAAAAAAUAAUCUAUCUAUAAAUAUUCUCAUAUACCUUAACAUUUUUUCUCAUCAUUCCAUUUUUUUCUCUCCAAUCAAAAAUAUAUUUCAUUAAAAUUCAUCAUGAAUCAUUCUAAUUUUAAUUUUUAUGAUUCUUUUGAUUUUGAUGAUGACACUCUUGUGUUCGCUUUUCAAGUUGCUAUCGUUGUGGUUGCUGAAGAAGAAUCGAAUAAUCAAGGGCGGAGAACAAGGUAUCGUGGCUCUAUUCUUGGUCACAAUAUUGUCAAUCGUAAUAGAAAGGAAGGUGAAUUAAGGUUAUAUAAUGAUUAUUUUGCUGAAAAUCCUAAAUUCACUGAAACUCAAUUUCGAAGAAGAUUUAGGAUGAGUCGUCGUCUUUUUCUUCGGAUCGCAAAUGCAGUGGAAGCUCAUAAUUCAUAUUUCAAACAAAGGACAGAUGCUCUUGGUGUUCUUGGUUUAUCUUGCCUUCAAAAGGUAACUGCAGCUCAUAGAAUACUUGCAUAUGGUAUUCCUACAGAUCUUACUGAUGAAUAUUUUCAAAUUGAAGAAAGUACUGCGAUAGAAAGUCUUAGAGCUUUCGUCAAAGCAAUCGUAGAAGUUUUUGGUGAUUGGUAUAUAAGGGCACCAAACGAGGCCGAUAUUUGUCGAUUAUUAUCAAUUAGAGAGCAGCGUGGAUUUCUAGGGAUGUUAGGGAGCAUUGACUGUAUGCAUUGGAAAUGGGAGAAAUGCCCAAUUGCAUGGCAUGGGAUGUAUACUGGUCAUUGUUGGGAACCAACUAUAAUUCUAGAGGCGGUGGCUUCACAAGAUCUUUGGAUAUGACAUGUCUUUUUUGGAAUGCCUGGAUCAUUAAAUAAUAUUAAUGUUCUUGAUCAGUCACCUAUCUUCGCUGCACUUGCUAAAGGUCGUACUGCUCCUGUCAAUUAUACAAUUAAUGGGCAUGAAUAUACAAUGGGAUACUAUUUAGCAGGCGUGAUUUAUCUUAAUUGAUCAACUUUUGUUAAGACAAUCCCAAGGCUAUUAGGAGCAAAGAGAAAAUAUUUUGCAAGUAAGCAAGAGUCUGCAAGAAAGGAUGUGGAGCCGGCAUUUGGGGUGCUCCAAUCUCGUUUUGCAAUUGUACGUGGACCUGUUCGAUACUGGGAUGAAGAAAUGCUUGCAAAUAUUAUAAAAGCUUGCAUAAUAAUGCAUAAUAUGAUUAUUGAGGAUGAAGAAGCAAUGAACAUUGGAUUUGACCAUAAACGUGAAGUCCAUUCCUUUAUAUCAGUGUCACAUGGUGAAAUACCAGAACUAUAUAAUUUUCUUCAAACUCAUAAUCGAAUCAGGGAUACAGCAACUAGCUUUCAACUACAAGAAAAUUGGUUGAACAUUUAUGGGAACAAUAUGGUGACGAGUAGAAUUAUUAGCUUUGAACUUCUUAUGUCAUCAUAAUUUUCAAGUUUUUUAUGUUUUUUUUUCCAUUAUGGUUGUUAUCUUUUAAGUUAAUUAAUCCUACUUAUUAUUGUUAAGUGUUAGAAGAACUUCAAAAAAGUAUUAUGAAUUGAUACCACUUUUAUAACAAUAUAUUUAAAAUAACCAAGAAAUUUCUAAAUAUUUAAUUAAAAAUACAUUACAUUAAACAAUAAAUAAAUCUAGUUAAUUAAAAAUUAAAACCCCUCUUUUGCAUAAUUUCUAACUUUUUAUUUUGAAAAUACGCUGCAGAAAUUGAAACCAAAUUAGAAAUAUCAAUUUUCAUAAUUUGUUCUUCUUUCUCAAUCCUGUCCAAUUCUUGUUUCUCUUAACUUUGUUGAAUCAUCAUAGCUUGUUGCUCUAACAUAUUUUUUUUGUCUUGUUUCUUCUAAUCCUCAAUUUCAACUAUAGUAUCCCUGAAUUGUUGUAAGAGAUUUGUUACAGUUGUCUCCCCAACUUUAUCUUUUCCUUGUUUAUGUUUAAGUCGUUCAUUUGCAACCUUCUGACCAAUUGAUCUAUCUUGAUAAAUCAACGAUUCACUGUCUUCUUCUAAACUACAAAAUCAGGGGUAGAUGGAGCUGAUGAAAUUGAACUUGCAUUGACAUGACUUUUUUGUUUCUUGUUUGACCUUUGAUGUUGACUUGCACGCUCAAAUUGCCAUUUGGGUUCUUUUCUUAAGAUAACUCAACAAUGUUCUAGUUGAAAUCGUUUGCUAACGCAAGAAGCAUACAUUUGUCGAGCAUCAUUAAUCUGGUAAGUAAAAAAUUAGAGAAAUUAAAUAAUGUUAAAAUAUAUGUUAAACAAUUUAACAUGAAAAUGAAUAUUAAAAUUACCCUUGAUUCUUCAGUCAUUCCACUUUGCUGAUGAUUUUCAAUUUGAGUAACAAAUCCAACAAAUUUACCGAUUUCUCUAUUUAUUUCUUGCCAUCUACUUGAGAUGCUUAUUUGGGAACGAUUAUUCAAGUUUCCUCCAUUCUCUACAAAGUAAGCAUGUACUCGAGUCCAGAACUGUUUUGUUUGUUGUUCAACUCCUGUAAUUGGAUCUUUGCUUGUAUUUAGCCAUGUAGAGACAAGUAAAUAAUCUUCCUCUGGUGAGAAGUUUUUACUUCUUUGUGAUUUUUUUAUUGUAUGGACAUUUAAAUUCGAGUAUGUUAAGUCAUCAAUUAAUUGAUUAGAAUCACUUGGUUGAAAGAGAAUAUCUUCUGACUUACUCAUAAGAAAGUUGGUGAAAUAGCUUGGAAAAUUUGAAUCCACCUACAUUAAAAAAAAAAAAAAAAACUCAAGUUAAAACCUUAUAAAAGAGUGUAAAAGAAGCGCACAUUCAAUGUCUAGCAAUUUUGUAGUUUACAUACAUGUGAAUUAAUAAUAAGCAUUGCAUCCUAUUUGUUCUAACAGUACAAUUUGACUAUUUUUUUGAAACUAAAAGAGAAUUGAUAUACUGGUUUAAUUGUAUUUUCAACAAGACAAAAUAUAAUUAACCUCAAAUUAAAAUAGACAAUCAAAAAUAAAUUUUAAAUAUGUCACUCUAUAUUUUUAUCAAUAUCAGCUACCAUUAUUACUUCCUCUCAAUUUUGUCAAAGAUAACAACAUAAAUAAAAAAUUGUUUUCCUUAACCCAUAUCAAAAACAUAAAAUAACAAAGAAAUAAAAAUCAUCACAAAUAUCAAAUUAACAACAAAAGGUCUACAAAAUCAAGAGAUACUAAAGAGAAAAUAGAAAAAGCUUUUAAACAAACAUACCUUUUAAUUUCAGCUAAUUAACACAACCGAUGUUAUUAAUUAACCAGAGAAUAAUUGAUUCUUGUUUUUCUAAAUUUGAGAGAAGGGUGAGAUACAAUACAAGAUUUAAAAAAAAAAACAAGUUUCUUUCCUUCUACUUUUAAAGAAAAGAAAAAAUUGUUGACCAACGACUAUAAAAAUAGUCAUUGGCAACGAUAACUUUAUUUUAGCUAUUUCUACAUAAACAUGUAGAAAUAGCUUUUCACAUAUUGAAUAGCCAUUUUGGCUAUCCUUUUACCUACUGCGUUGAAGUUGUAAAAAAAAAAAUUUAGUACACGUUUUUAAAUUUAACUUUUCAUUUGGCUCUCUAGUUGGAGAUGCUCUAACUGUGAUACUAUUCUGUUUUUUUUUAAAAAAACCAUGGAUAUAUGUUAGUUUAUGUGUACUCGACUAAUUUUAUAGUUAUUAAUGUUAAUAAUUAUAUAAAUUUUCAAUAGUUAUGAGGUGUGUGAAAUGAUGACACUUCUCUAUAACAUUAAUAGCUUGCCUCAUAAAAUUUACCAGCCAUGUUUUUUUCAAAUUUUGCAAAUAUAUUUUUUAUGGGAGAUUGAUUUAUGUUUAGAUAUAUGUUGCUUAGAUUUAUUUUUUUUAUUAUUGAAUUUCACGACGAAAAAAAGUUGUUUGGGAAUGGCAACAAAAGGAGCUCCUGCAAAUUUAAAAUGUCUUAAACGUAUUUCAUUUGUAAUCUUUCUUGUCGGUUUUUAGUGUGUUUAGAAUGGUUUCUCAUCGGUUUUAGUCUGGUAGGAUUGUAUUAAUUUUUUAAAGUAUUUUUUUUAAAAAAAUAUAUAUAAAUAAUAUUUUUUUAUUUAAAAAAUGUAUUCUUAACGUAGCAUAUCAAAAAUAAUUUAUAAAUAUAAAAAUAGAAUUUAAAAAAAAUAAUUUAAAUUAUUAUUUUUUUACACGUGGCCAACCACAUUUCAAUACACUUUCUUGGUUGAAUGGCCAUUGAUAACGUUCACUUGGAUUAGACACCAAAUUGUUCUUUUCCUUGUUAUCACUAUCACUUCAAUUUGAUACUAAAUGCGCCAUUUGGGAACACUGCUCCAGAUAGAGUUCUAUAAAAAUUUAAUUUUUUUUAUUUUUUUUAUAUAUUAAUAUCAAAGAUAAUUUUAAAAAAAUAAAAAUUAUAUUUUAAUACAUCUUUAAGUAAUAGUUACUAUACUCACAAACACACCAAAAUCAUCGUGGUUGUUGGGUGUGAAUUUCAGUGACAUGGAUGCUCUCCGUUUCAAGUGAGAAGAAAGAGAGAAAGAAAUUGACAACGUGCCCCUAAUGUUUUUCCUGUUUUUUUCCCCUUCUUAUAUGAGAAUAGUAUGUUUAAAAUUACGUUAUGAAUGACUAUGCUAUUCUCAACUCAGUGCUGAUUUUGUUUUUUUAAUCCUUGAGCUAGCUUCAAACUCAGAUUCAUUACGUGAAACUGUUUGUUUUUUUUAAUGUUUUUAAAUUAUUUUAAUGCGCUGUUAUCAAAAAUAAUUUUAAAAAAUAAAAAAUAAAUAUUAUUUUAAUAUAUUUUUAAAUAAAAAUAUUUUAAAAAAUAACCACCGCUAUAUUAAAAUAAAAAAAACCCCACAACUCAAAAUAAUUCAGAGACAAACGGUCAAAAAUCACAGUUCAUCACCACUUUGUCCAGAUUCUUAAGGUGGCCAAACAUCAUUCGCAACGGAUAAUGAUUCGUGGAUGCGUCAAAGGAUUAGGAAAUAAAAGCGAGCACUCUCGGUAUGAUGGCACAGACGAAGUAACUUUAGUUGAUGGUUCAGGUUUGGAAAUUUCUCACACUAGUUCUGUCCUACCAUUUUUCAAUAUAUGAUUAAAAUUAUUCUCUAACACAUCCCCUUAAAUAAAAGUUCAUUGAAUUUGAAACUUGCACAGACUCAUACUAACUUGUGCUUAUUUUUUAUUAAAUAAAUAGGGGUGAUGAAAUUCAAACUCAUGACCGUUUAAUCAUCAAAACUCUAUAAUACCAUGUCAAAGAACCAAUUAUACCCAAUAAUUUAAGUUAUUAGAUGAGGUCUCAAGAUAUAAUUUAUAUUAUUCUCUAACAUGUGGUUUCAACUGCAUUCUCAAGCGCUAUAUUGGUCGCCAACCUCUCAAUCUCAUCCUUCAAGACUAUAUGGUCUUGCAUUCACAGGUCUGGCAUCUGAUAACAAAUGAAUUCCAUGAUCAUGUUUCCUAGCCAGAGGCAGCUGAGCAUGUUUAGCAAACACAUCAAUUUAUUUAGCUAACAAAGCACAAAUCUCAUGAUGAUGAUAGGCUUUGGUAACAGACUCCUCAUGGCUUGUGAUUAAGAAAAUUUGAGCUCAAAAUAUACAAAUCUUGUCUGUAAGGUUCUUGGAAACCUUAUCUACUGACAUCAUUAGUAAUUUCACCUCAUCAGAAAUGCCCUUCAACUCAAUCAUUCUUCCUUCUUUCUUAAAAGAAAGAUUCAUCUUAACAAAAUCAAACAAUAUCACCCCCACCCCCAUACCAGAAUCAACUGAGUCACCAUCUCACUAAACACAUCAUCUCCCUCUUCCCGAGCUUUCAUUGCAUUCAUCUCCCAUACCCGAAACAAACUUAUUCUUUCUAGCCAUGGAAAAAAUACUCUUCCUGCCAAUUAGCUUCAUCAAAGACUUGAUUUAAAGAAGUAGCUUUCAAGAUUUUAAGCUCUUUGAGUCCACUUAUAACUAGAGAUGAAAUAAGCCUUCGAUAAGUAAGGAUUAGCAUCAAAAUCAUUAAAGAUCAAGUUCUUCAAACUUUUUUAUAUAAACUUCAACAUCCUUCUCCUGUGCAAGUUUGUUAAAACUCCUCUGCCAUAUCAUUUCUGCUACCAAACCUUCUACAUAUCUCACUCACAAUCCCCUCCCAAUUUCCAACAUCACUCCCUACAACAAAUCCUUAAAACCAAAUUUCAGCCUUUCCUUCUAAAUACAUAGAAGCAAUCUCUACAUAUUAAUUAACAGAAAUAAAAUUCAUCUUCAAAUUUUUCUUGCACUUACAUAUCCACUCAAGGAUUUUCACCAUUAAAAAAUUGAUGAUUAAUCCUAGGUAUAGCAACAUUAUAAGCAGACCUGGUGGAUUCAGGUAACGACAAAGGAUUCUCACCAUCUGUUCAUGGUGUGGGAAUCAAGCCAUCGCCUGAAGAACGGGAUUUUGAUUCCUGAACUGGUUCCUGCUCUGCUCCCUAUGCUUUAAUCGUCAUCAUGAUUGAUUCAAAAUGCAACUGUCUGCUUCUUCAAUUCCUCCAUAGAUUCUUGCAGAUAUCAUAAUCUUUCAAAUGGAAAUCCAAAAUGUUUGGUUGUCUCCUUGAAGACAAAAGUUGUACAUUGAAAGCCUACCUUAUCAUAGUUGAAGGUCAUAAAACAAAGAGGUUUUUUUUUUUUUUAAUGACAGAGGAAUAAAGAUUUAAAAAAAUUCCCAUGUUCCUAAUAAAAUAAAAUAAAAAAUAGUAAAGAUUAAAAAAAAAUGUAUAAUAGAAGUUCCACAAUGACAACUAUAUGCGGAGAAGAAAAUAGAAACCCUUCCCUUAACAAAAUGGAAAUUUCACAAACCAACCAUUUAAUUCAGUUUCUUGUACAAAGUCCCGGACUGAGUCAUGUAACUAAUAUAAACAAGCUGCUUCAAAAUGAACAAUGGAUAGUAGGGAAAUGUUGUAAAGAAAGCAAAAAAAGGAGGUAUACACAUUCUAAUAUAUUCAAUAUUUUGAAGAGAUUCAAUAGCUUGUCAUAAAAUGCUAUCCAUGUGGUGCCCACCUUUAAGAGUUUUGCAGCAGUUGCACGGAAGCAAUAUUAUUAUAUAUGAAGUCUCCUGGUGUAUUCCUUUUUGUGGGUUUUUUACUUUAGAUAGUGUAAGUUUAAUAUCGUAGGGGUGAGGUAUUUGUGAGAGAAAAUACCAAUUAUUGCAACAACUAUCAAUCAGUAGAUCAGACAGGAAAGGUUCCUGUCAUCUGAAUGUGGUCAAGGGUUCUCCUGAGGCCAUAUUUCAGCACUGCCUGGUUACCUAUCCUGAAACCUUCUCCAUAAGCUGGCGAUGUAUCUGACUCGAUCUGGUGUUUGAAAAACUCACCAAGUUUCUUCUCAAAGUCAGAUCGCGGUCCUUUCUUCGAUGAUGUGGAAGAAGAUGAUGACGGUGAUGAGGAUGAGGAUGACGACGAAGCACCUUCACCUCCCGAACUAGAAUAUAUCUCAGAAUCUAGCCACAUAUGAGCCAGGACCU
Molecule: long non-coding RNA, 14364 nt
Filed under: Populus trichocarpa (black cottonwood)
Lineage: Eukaryota; Viridiplantae; Streptophyta; Magnoliopsida; Malpighiales; Salicaceae
Description: long non-coding RNA (PTRI_LNC001495)
Source: RNAcentral